Molecule: non-coding RNA, 30 nt
Filed under: Mus musculus (house mouse)
Lineage: Eukaryota; Metazoa; Chordata; Mammalia; Rodentia; Muridae
Source: RNAcentral
UGCAUUUGCUUAUAUGAAUCCAGCCUAAUG